This is a long non-coding RNA of Coturnix japonica (Japanese quail), 2051 nucleotides long. Lineage: Eukaryota; Metazoa; Chordata; Aves; Galliformes; Phasianidae. The record is from Ensembl.
GACCAGCUGGAGCAGAAGUAAGAGCUGGUUGGUGUUCGGUGGCGAUGUGCAGCGGGUGCGUUGCUCCAUCUCCCGGCAGCUGCUCUGAUGUGCAGGGGAAGAGCUCCAGCUGCGGUUUGGCAUAUGAGAUGCUGCAUGGUAACGUUUCUUUCUUUGUAAAACAGUUGCUGAGCGCCGCCGUGUCCGAUAGACUGAAAUUCAGGGGUCCGGUGCAGCCGAAAUCUCAGUGCUGAGCUCUCUCUGACCAAAGCACGGAAGCUGCAUGUGGGAUUUGGCUGCUCCGUAUCGCUGUUACAGCCCACCCGGCCCCUCCAUGUGUUCAGGUUUCCUCUUUGCUUUAGAGAAACUUUAUGUUAAAAAUCAACCGGUGCGUGGGAACAGGGUGGGAGGGAAAUCAACGUGCAACAAACUAUUCUCAGAUAGAUUUAAACGUUACCACUUUCCUGUUCACCUGCUGAUGUUCAGGGUUGGAACGUGUAAUUAGAGGCUGUCCUCGGGCUGCCAGCACAAAGCCAAGCUCGAUCUUUGCUGCCCUCCCACGGCACAACCGGGGAAGGAAACUGGAAAUUGAAGCUUGUAAAAGGCUUUAACUGAGCUGUUUUGCACCUGAAAUGCUUCAGUGACUCCUGGGGUGCUCUGAGGUUUGCAGUUUUUCCUCAGAAGAUUUCAUUAUAAACUGAGCUACCAGAAAGCGAUGGUGCCAUGCAAGGAUGUCUGUGAUCCACAGCCGGCUCCAGGGGAGGCUUAUCCAUCUGAAGGUGUUGGCUUAACACAAACCCAACUGCUGGGGAGGAUCUUUCAGCUGUUGCAGCCUUGGGAUGCAUGCCUGGCUGCCAGAGAAGACCCUUGGGAAGAGCAGAGUCUAUUUCCAGCCGGACCAACAAGCCAGGAGAUGUCCUUUGGCACAGCCUUGAAAUCCCAAUUGCCACAUGUAAGCCAUUUGUUUCCAUCCGGCAUGAAGCUGAACUCAGGCUGUUUGCUGAGUGCAUUCCUCAAACCAGGAAUGAGAGCUUUCAGUUUCCACGUGUUAUUCUCUGGAUUACAGGUAUGAAAUGUUUUACCUUCAGCUCAGCUGCUGCCGUUGGCAGAGCCCAUGAAACUCUCAGCAUCUGUCCAAAAAGUGAGUUAUGAUCCCUUCUGGUUACAGGCAGAUCUUAAAAGCAGGAAGGGAGGGCAUUCCAAGGGCUUACAAAGCAGAAAGCAAAGAAUUGAAAAUAUGCCCAAGAGAAUCUGAAACCUGUUACAGUUGCUGCAUCUACCUCAGGUCAGGCAUUGUUAAUGAGUUAUUAACAUGUGAUGCUAAUGACACAUCAUGAAAGAGCUCAGCCCAUGGAGGACCCAGAGAGAGUCCUGCUGGUUUAAAGUGACGUACUUUGUGUGUUCCACUUUCCUUCUUACAACUUCCUUUUUCUUUUUUCCCCCCUAUUAGUAACAGCCAUAACAAAACCUGUCCUCCUGAAGGAGGAGUGAGCUCCAUAAAAGGUGGCAGGUUUAUUUAAAUUACACUUUGUGUUAACAAAAGGCUCGGGUUAGUGAAAACAUGAUUAGAGAUUUGGUAUGCUUAAGGGCUAUUAACAGUAUGCUUCUACCCAGAUGGAAUCAGAGUACAAAGAGGAAGAAACCUCCAUUUGACACUGCCUAGCUAAUCUCAGCAGUACAUCGCUCAUUACUCUGUGCAGGAUUAAAGCUGAGCUCUGUGGUGCUGCCUUUGAGACUCAGCAGGGCAGCUCUCCUUCACAGCAAUGGGGUCAGAUAAUUCCAGGUGUGUGGCAGGAAGGCUGUGGAGUGAAAACUGUUGGGUUUAAAUUACCCGAUUUUCCACAUUCUUCUCUCUCUUGGAGAAGGUCAAAUGUAAUGUUCGCUCUUGAAAGAGUUUACACAACAUAUAAAUUUAGAUUGUUCAGUCAAGUGUUGCUGAUUGAGAAGGUGUUGAUACAGUUGGUACUUGCGGAUGUGUUGCAAAGUGUAUGAAUUCAUAGCACUGCUAAAAUCUGCUGGGAGGUGCAGGAGGCUUCUUGCAUAUGGCUUGUAAUGUAUGUGAAAUAAUAUGA